Molecule: ribosomal RNA, 492 nt
Filed under: uncultured bacterium
Lineage: Bacteria
Description: partial 16S ribosomal RNA
Rfam family: Bacterial small subunit ribosomal RNA
Source: RNAcentral
AGUGAACGCUGGCGGUAGGCCUAACACAUGCAAGUCGAACGGCAGCACAGUAAGAGCUUGCUCUUACGGGUGGCGAGUGGCGGACGGGUGAGGAAUACAUCGGAAUCUACUUUGUCGUGGGGGAUAACGUAGGGAAACUUACGCUAAUACCGCAUACGACCUACGGGUGAAAGCAGGGGAUCGUCGGACCUUGCGCGAUUGAAUGAGCCGAUGUCGGAUUAGCUAGUUGGCGGGGUAAAGGCCCACCAAGGCGACGAUCCGUAGCUGGUCUGAGAGGAUGAUCAGCCACACUGGAACUGAGACACGGUCCAGACUCCUACGGGAGGCAGCAGUGGGGAAUAUUGGACAAUGGGCGCAAGCCUGAUCCAGCCAUACCGCGUGGGUGAAGAAGGCCUUCGGGUUGUAAAGCCCUUUUGUUGGGAAAGAAAAGCAGCAGGUUAAUACCCCGCUGUUCUGACGGUACCCAAAGAAUAAGCACCGGCUAACUUCGUG